UACGAAGGGGGCUAGCGUUGUUCGGAAUUACUGGGCGUAAAGCGCACGUAGGCGGACAUUUAAGUCAGGGGUGAAAUCCCAGAGCUCAACUCUGGAACUGCCUUUGAUACUGGGUGUCUGGAGUAUGGAAGAGGUGAGUGGAAUUCCGAGUGUAGAGGUGAAAUUCGUAGAUAUUAGGAAGAACACCAGUGGCGAAGGCGGCUCACUGGACUGGUAUUGACGCUGAGGUGCGAAAGCGUGGGGAGCAAACAGG
This 253-nucleotide ribosomal RNA is filed under the name uncultured bacterium. RNAcentral describes it as "partial 16S ribosomal RNA". It matches the Rfam family "Bacterial small subunit ribosomal RNA", at positions 524 to 776 of the family's 1533-position model. The record is from RNAcentral.